AUGGCCUUGCCAGCGAUCCCCGACAAGCUCCUGGUGGACAUAUUCCUCCGCCUUCCCACCCCAGAGAAUCUCAUCCGAGCCUCAGCCGCCUGCGUCUCCUUCCGCCGCCUCGUCGCCGACCGAUCCUUCCUCAGGCGCUUCCGCAAGCUCCACCCCCCGCCCCUCCUCGGCUUCCUCGACCCAAAUUGGCACUGCUUCCACCCCGCCGUCCCGCCUCACCUCUCUGCGCCGGCGGCCAGCGCCGCCGACUUCUCCUUCGACUUCCUCCCCGACUCCUCCCGGGACUGGUCCGUGCUGGAUGUCCGCGACGGCCGCGUCCUCCUCAGCAGACCCCUCCGCGCCGGUAAGGGUCUCAAUGAGAUGGUGGUGUGCAACCUCUUGCACCGGCAGUAUCUCCUACUUCCCGAGCUCCCCCAUGACCUAGUCGCUUUGUGGAUUGACACACUCAUGAUUGAAGGGCCGCGCUUCAGCGGAUCCUACAGAGAGACCUUCCUCGGCCCUCCCGGCGAUGACCAGGAGGCAGCUGCUACGGAGGAGACGUCAGAGUGA
RNAcentral lists this ribosomal RNA (549 nucleotides) under Triticum aestivum (bread wheat). Its description in RNAcentral is "partial small subunit ribosomal RNA". Lineage: Eukaryota; Viridiplantae; Streptophyta; Magnoliopsida; Poales; Poaceae. The record is from RNAcentral.